GAUGAACGCUGGCGGCGUGCCUAAUACAUGCAAGUCGAGCGAACGGACGAGAAGCUUGCUUCUCUGAUGUUAGCGGCGGACGGGUGAGUAACACGUGGAUAACCUACCUAUAAGACUGGGAUAACUUCGGGAAACCGGAGCUAAUACCGGAUAAUAUUUUGAACCGCAUGGUUCAAAAGUGAAAGACGGUCUUGCUGUCACUUAUAGAUGGAUCCGCGCUGCAUUAGCUAGUUGGUAAGGUAACGGCUUACCAAGGCAACGAUGCAUAGCCGACCUGAGAGGGUGAUCGACCACACUGGAACUGAGACACGGUCCAGACUCCUACGGGAGGCAGCAGUAGGGAAUCUUCCGCAAUGGGCGAAAGCCUGACGGAGCAAAGCCGCGUGAGUGAUGAAGGUCUUCGGAUCGUAAAACUCUGUUAUUAGGGAAGAACAUAUGUGUAAGUAACUGUGCACAUCUUGACGGUACCUAAUCAGAAAGCCACGGCUAACUACGUG
This 497-nucleotide ribosomal RNA is filed under the name uncultured bacterium. Its description in RNAcentral is "partial 16S ribosomal RNA". It matches the Rfam family "Bacterial small subunit ribosomal RNA", at positions 28 to 507 of the family's 1533-position model. The record is from RNAcentral.